This 586-nucleotide ribosomal RNA is filed under the name Trichoderma citrinoviride. Its description in RNAcentral is "eukaryotic LSU rRNA". The stretch from base 203 to 356 matches the Rfam family "5.8S ribosomal RNA". The record is from RNAcentral. Lineage: Eukaryota; Fungi; Ascomycota; Sordariomycetes; Hypocreales; Hypocreaceae.
CCAACCCAUGUGACGUUACCAAUCUGUUGCCUCGGCGGGAUUCUCUGCCCCGGGCGCGUCGCAGCCCCGGAUCCCAUGGCGCCCGCCGGAGGACCAACUCAAACUCUUUUUUCUCUCCGUCGCGGCCUACGUCGCGGCUCUGUUUUAUUUUUGCUCUGAGCCUUUCUCGGCGACCCUAGCGGGCGUCUCGAAAAUGAAUCAAAACUUUCAACAACGGAUCUCUUGGUUCUGGCAUCGAUGAAGAACGCAGCGAAAUGCGAUAAGUAAUGUGAAUUGCAGAAUUCAGUGAAUCAUCGAAUCUUUGAACGCACAUUGCGCCCGCCAGUAUUCUGGCGGGCAUGCCUGUCCGAGCGUCAUUUCAACCCUCGAACCCCUCCGGGGGGUCGGCGUUGGGGAUCGGCCCCUCACCGGGCCGCCCCCGAAAUACAGUGGCGGUCUCGCCGCAGCCUCUCCUGCGCAGUAGUUUGCACACUCGCACCGGGAGCGCGGCGCGGCCACAGCCGUAAAACACCCCAAACUCUGAAAUGUUGACCUCGGAUCAGGUAGGAAUACCCGCUGAACUUAAGCAUAUCAAUAAGCGGAGGAA